UCUGUUCUACUGUGUACGUGAUAGAAUUUAUAUUUUGCCCAACAUCUAACACACAGGGAGCCUGGUCUCCAGCUGUGGCGUAUAAGCCUCCAUUGAGUGGACAUAUAAAUCAGCUGGGAGGGCACCCACUUAGCAGAAGGGGAGCAAAAAAUAUUAAUUCUUGCGGCAUGGUGGAACAGAU
RNAcentral lists this non-coding RNA (181 nucleotides) under Acetohalobium arabaticum DSM 5501. RNAcentral describes it as "6S / SsrS RNA". It matches the Rfam family "6S / SsrS RNA". From Rfam's summary of the family: E. coli 6S RNA was the first non coding RNA to be sequenced, but its function was unknown until recently. The record is from Rfam by way of RNAcentral. Lineage: Bacteria; Bacillati; Bacillota; Clostridia; Halanaerobiales; Halobacteroidaceae.